ACUGGAGGACUAAGAAGGCUGAGUCUGAUGAAGCUAGACUCUGCUGAUACAAUCCUCCUACAAAAAAAGGGUUGGAGAGAGCAGUCCCACUUGGAGAAUAGUAGAGGGCUGACUGUACUACCCAACAUUA
Molecule: non-coding RNA, 130 nt
Organism: Trichosurus vulpecula (common brushtail)
Lineage: Eukaryota; Metazoa; Chordata; Mammalia; Diprotodontia; Phalangeridae
Product: small Cajal body-specific RNA 4
Exons: 1
Source: RefSeq, a predicted model, not a curated record